CCUACGGGGGGCAGCAGUGGGGAAUAUUGGACAAUGGGGGGAACCCUGAUCCAGCCAUGCCGCGUGUGUGAAGAAGGCCCUCGGGUUGUAAAGCACUUUCAGUGAGGAAGAACGCCUGGUGGUUAAUACCCAUCAGGAAAGACAUCACUCACAGAAGAAGCACCGGCUAACUCCGUGCAAGCAGCCGCGGUAAUACGGAGGGUGCGAGCGUUAAUCGGAAUUACUGGGCGUAAAGCGCGCGUAGGUGGCUUGAUAAGCCGGUUGUGAAAGCCCCGGGCUCAACCUGGGAACGGCAUCCGGAACUGUCAAGCUAGAGUGCAGGAGAGGAAGGUAGAAUUCCCGGUGUAGCGGUGAAAUGCGUAGAGAUCGGGAGGAAUACCAGUGGCGAAGGCGGCCUUCUGGACUGACACUGACACUGAGGUGCGAAAGCGUGGGUAGCAAACAGGAUUAGAUACCCGGGUAGUC
Molecule: ribosomal RNA, 465 nt
Filed under: Vreelandella stevensii
Lineage: Bacteria; Pseudomonadati; Pseudomonadota; Gammaproteobacteria; Oceanospirillales; Halomonadaceae
Description: partial 16S ribosomal RNA
Rfam family: Bacterial small subunit ribosomal RNA
Source: RNAcentral